RNAcentral lists this ribosomal RNA (253 nucleotides) under uncultured bacterium. RNAcentral's name for it is "partial 16S ribosomal RNA". It matches the Rfam family "Bacterial small subunit ribosomal RNA", at positions 524 to 776 of the family's 1533-position model. The record is from RNAcentral.
GACGUAGGGCGCGAGCGUUGUCCGGAUUUAUUGGGCGUAAAGAGCUCGUAGGCGGCUUGUCGCGUCGUCCGUGAAAACCCACAGCUCAACUGUGGGCUUGCGGUCGAUACGGGCAGGCUAGAGUUCGGUAGGGGAGACUGGAAUUCCUGGUGUAGCGGUGAAAUGCGCAGAUAUCAGGAGGAACACCGGUGGCGAAGGCGGUUCUCUGGGCAUGAUCUGACGCUGAGGAGCGAAAGUGUGGGGAGCGAACAGG